This 642-nucleotide ribosomal RNA is filed under the name Triticum aestivum (bread wheat). Its description in RNAcentral is "partial small subunit ribosomal RNA". The record is from RNAcentral. Lineage: Eukaryota; Viridiplantae; Streptophyta; Magnoliopsida; Poales; Poaceae.
AUGAUGGAUAGGCCAAGUUCUUCUACCAACCCACUCUUCCUAGAGCAAGACGACGACCCGAACAACUAUGUCACCAAGCUCCACCUAUUCGGCACACAACGAGCUUUGCAUCAAGAGCAACAAGCAAUGAGCGACCGCAUCGAUCAUCUCGCCACCGACUUGCGACUCUCUGAGCAACAUAUAAGAGACUACUUCGACAACAAGCUCGAUGAACAAAAGCAAGAGAGCAAUGCAAGAAUGGACGAGAUUCAUGCCUUGUUGCUCAACCGCUCUUCUACCUCUUCGUCCUACUCAAGACGGAGCCGCUCAAGUCGACACUCCGAAGACACCAUCUCUGGCUCAAGUACUCCGUUAUCGAACACUCUUCGUCGUGCCACACGUCAAGAUCGUCAAGCAAACCGCAACCCCCUACACAACACCGAUCAUCAAGAGCAACUUCGAGCGCAAGAGCAUCGACAUCGUCAAAAUCAAGCUACAUUCGCGCAAGCACAAGAACGGCAACGCCUACGACAACAAGAGGAAGAGCGAGCACGACAACCCAAGAUGCACAAGAUGCCGAGGCUCAACGUCAAGAACAACAACUACGUGAAGCUCAAGUACUUGAGGCGCAACGUUCCCUCCGAGAUUCAAGUCGAGCUGUAG